This 71-nucleotide transfer RNA is filed under the name Loxodonta africana (African savanna elephant). It matches the Rfam family "tRNA". Rfam says of the family: Transfer RNA (tRNA) molecules are approximately 80 nucleotides in length. The record is from Rfam by way of RNAcentral. Lineage: Eukaryota; Metazoa; Chordata; Mammalia; Proboscidea; Elephantidae.
ACACUGGUGGUUCAGUGGAAGAAUUCUUGCCUUCCAUGCUGCAGACCCAGGUUCGAUUCCUGCCCAGUACA